CAAGCUAAAAUGAUACCUACACCCCCUAUUAUGCUAAAGGCACCUUAUUUUAGCCUAUCUUUGAUAUUUGGACCCCUAAAGUGAGGCCAAAUUAUUUACAAACAUAUUAUAUUUUUUUAAGAAGACCAAAAGGAAGAACUUCUGAUAUUCAGGUUUAUAACUUCUUUUUCUUUUGUUGAUUCUUUCUCGAGUCUUGGUGGGGCUUGGCUUUGUAUCUUGAGAUGACUGACCCUUUUGGGAAGUGCUUGUUGUGUCCUUAGUUAUUUGUCGGUUUGUAUCAUAGGUUUUCUUCUUUUCCACAUUUAUGAAAUUGUUGCCUAGUUUUUGCAAUUUUAUUCUGAGUUCAUAUUACAUUGAAAAAAUUUGAAAAACAAAAUACACAAGUACUUGUUAUUUGUAUCUAGUUAAAAAGGCACGUCAAAAAACAAAAUACAAAAAAAAAAAGAUAUAAACAAGAAAAACAAAGAUGUUUUGUGUUGCAGUGAAAGAGUGGUCCUCAAGUUAAAUCUUCCUACCGCACCCCAUCCCAAACCUUAUCAGUUACAAUGCAUAAAUGAGGACAGUGGUAUUGUUGUGAGUAGCCAAGCAAAUAUUCCAAUAACCAUAAGAUCUUAUAAAGAAACCAUUUUGUGUGACAUUUGGCUACCAAAUUUAGAAUCUAAAUAAUUGGUAGUUAAAACCUUGGUAGCUAAUUAGAUAUCAAUUUAGAAACUAUUUAACAAUUAUAGAAACUAAUUUAGAAACCAAUUUUUUUUUUUAGUUUCUAAAAUGGUCUCUGAUUUAGUCACUAUAGCAACUAAUUAUUUUUUGUUUCUAAAAUUAGUUUCUAUUUCAUGAUUUUCUUGUAAUGUGGAUAGUUGUAACUUUAACACUUUGUUUAUUAAAAUGUUGAAACACAACAUAGAUGCCCCUUUUCCAAAUGAUGGGGAUUUAGUUGGAAGUCAACAAGUGAAAGUUAAGUCUUCUUUAAGACACUAUGCUAAAAAAGUUUUAAGUCACAUUGUGCUUGUAGAAGCUUGUGAUAUCUUAUUAGAACAACCUUGAAAUUUUAACCGUACCUUUGUUUAUCAUGAUUGUUUUAAUAAAAUUACUUUCACUCACAAAGAAAAUAAGUUUGUGGUUAGUUUUUCAACACUUUAAAAAGCAGUGGAAAACUGAUUAUAAACACAACUAAAUUUUGAAAAUCCUGUUUGGAGCUGAACCAAACAAGAAUAUAAAUUCCUUUGGAAAACCUUGUGAAAGAUUGCUUGAAAUAAAACAAUCAGACCAAAAGAUUAAGCAACUUAACAAGGUAGAAAAACAUUAGAGUAAUCAUACUCCUAUGGUCAAUCUUGUCUAUCUAACAGGUAAGAGGUACAAUGACCUUAGAAGCAAGGUCUUUUCUUCUACUUUAGUUUUUUUUUUUAACAAAUAUCAUGUGUUUAACUAUUUCAUUGUUUUUAUGGGUUAAUUUUUUUAAUCCUAUAGGAGGUUAAUCGCAAAGCACAACACUAAAGUGGCUAAAUGAAGCGGAUCUGAGGACAAAUCCUUUUAAAAGGGGGACCUUGAUGGAGGAUCAUCUUCACUUUCUAGCCACCAUACACUCAGAUAAAGCAGAAGAUCAACCACAUAAAUAUUUGCCUUUGUUUGUAUAAAUUUGUAAAUAAUUGAUUAGUCUUUCUUUGAGCUUUGUAUUUCUAAGCCAAAUUUUAGAAUAGGUUGAAAAUAAUUCCAAGACACACUAGAAACCUUCACUUAGCAUUUAAGCAAAGGUUUCCAAUAGUUCAUCAUCUACUCCAUCAUCCAUGAUAGACUGAACAUAUUCUCGAGAUUCAGACAAACUUGGUAAAUGUAAUAAUUCACCAUGCCUUGUUAAUCUCCUUUAUGGAACAUUUUGAUAUCCA
Molecule: long non-coding RNA, 1883 nt
Filed under: Phaseolus vulgaris (common bean)
Lineage: Eukaryota; Viridiplantae; Streptophyta; Magnoliopsida; Fabales; Fabaceae
Description: long non-coding RNA (PVUL_LNC003856)
Source: RNAcentral